UGAGGAAUAUUGGACAAUGGGGGCAACCCUGAUCCAGCCAUGCCGCGUGCAGGAUGACGGUCCUAUGGAUUGUAAACUGCUUUUAUACGGGAAGAAACCCUGGCUCGUGAGCCAGAUUGACGGUACCGUAGGAAUAAGGAUCGGCUAACUCCGUGCCAGCAGCCGCGGUAAUACGGAGGAUCCAAGCGUUAUCCGGAAUCAUUGGGUUUAAAGGGUCCGUAGGCGGCCCGUUAAGUCAGCGGUGAAAUCUCCCGGCUCAACCGGGAAAUGGCCAUUGAUACUGACGGGCUUGAAUUACCAGGAAGUAACUAGAAUAUGUAGUGUAGCGGUGAAAUGCUUAGAGAUUACAUGGAAUACCAAUUGCGAAGGCAGGUUACUACUGGUGGAUUGACGCUGAUGGACGAAAGCGUGGGUAGCGAACAG
Molecule: ribosomal RNA, 423 nt
Filed under: uncultured bacterium
Lineage: Bacteria
Description: bacterial SSU rRNA
Rfam family: Bacterial small subunit ribosomal RNA
Source: RNAcentral